GCUACAGAUGAGCGGUAUGGAUGACUUCUUACGACCGGAUCGAUUCGAUCGUAUUAUGCAAAUGACAAAACCAGAUCAAUUCAUUCAAGAGCAACAUUCAUGGAAUCCAGAAGAUCGAUCAUUGAACAUAUUCGUGAAAGACGAGGACAAAUUCACAUUCCACCGGCACCCUGUCGCACAAAGUACAGAUUGUAUUCGCGGAAAGAUGGGCUACAGCCGGGGAUUCCACGUAUGGCAAAUCGAAUGGCCUGAACGGCAGCGAGGAACACAUGCUGUGGUUGGAGUUGCGACGAAGAAUGCUCCACUACACGCUGCCGGAUAUACGGCAUUGAUUGGUACCACUGAUGAGAGUUAUGGAUGGGAUAUUA
This 368-nucleotide small RNA is filed under the name Caenorhabditis elegans. Its description in RNAcentral is "Unclassified non-coding RNA Y46E12BL.12". Lineage: Eukaryota; Metazoa; Nematoda; Chromadorea; Rhabditida; Rhabditidae. The record is from RNAcentral.